CAGAGUGCAGUUAAAACAGAAUAAUACUUCCCUUACACUGAAGAGACAUCCGUGCAAAUCGGAUCACCCUGA
RNAcentral lists this transfer RNA (72 nucleotides) under Pontinus longispinis. RNAcentral's name for it is "tRNA-Val". It matches the Rfam family "tRNA". From Rfam's summary of the family: Transfer RNA (tRNA) molecules are approximately 80 nucleotides in length. Their secondary structure includes four short double-helical elements and three loops (D, anti-codon, and T loops). Further hydrogen bonds mediate the characteristic L-shaped molecular structure. tRNAs have two regions of fundamental functional importance: the anti-codon, which is responsible for specific mRNA codon recognition, and the 3' end, to which the tRNAs corresponding amino acid is attached (by aminoacyl-tRNA synthetases). tRNAs cope with the degeneracy of the genetic code in two manners: having more than one tRNA (with a specific anti-codon) for a particular amino acid; and 'wobble' base-pairing, i.e. permitting non-standard base-pairing at the 3rd anti-codon position. Lineage: Eukaryota; Metazoa; Chordata; Actinopteri; Perciformes; Scorpaenidae. The record is from RNAcentral. RNAcentral also lists the same sequence under 5 other names.